Molecule: long non-coding RNA, 254 nt
Filed under: Elaeis guineensis (African oil palm)
Lineage: Eukaryota; Viridiplantae; Streptophyta; Magnoliopsida; Arecales; Arecaceae
Description: long non-coding RNA (EGUI_LNC058580)
Source: RNAcentral
AUAUGUAUCGAAGCUAAUUUCAUAGACGAUUUAAGGACAUAUCACACUUGAAUGAAAAAAAAUUACCCUUUUAUUGAUCAUAUUAAUAUAUCAAGCAUAAAAUUAUAUCCUAAAUUUAUUACAAUGUGUCAGUCAUAUUGGCUUCUAGGAUAUAUAUCUAACAAGGAUAAGUCCUAAAAUAGUAAGGACAAGUCUUAUUUUAGGACAAAGGUCUAGGAAGAGAUAUAAGCAAGAUAAGGAGACAAGAAAGGUAA